AGUGAACGCUGGCGGUAGGCCUAACACAUGCAAGUCGAACGGCAGCACAGUAAGAGCUUGCUCUUACGGGUGGCGAGUGGCGGACGGGUGAGGAAUACAUCGGAAUCUACUUUUUCGUGGGGGAUAACGUAGGGAAACUUACGCCAAUACCGCAUACGACCUACGGGUGAAAGCAGGGGAUCUUCGUACCUUGCGCGAUUGAAUGAGCCGAUGUCGGAUUAGCUAGUUGGCGGGGUAAAGGCCCACCAAGGCGACGAUCCGUAGCUGGUCUGAGAGGAUGAUCAGCCACACUGGAACUGAGAAACGGUCCAGACUCCUACGGGAGGCAGCAGUGGGGAAUAUUGGACAAAGGGCGCAAGCCUGAUCCAGCCAUACCGCGUGGGUGAAGAAGGCCUUCGGGUUGUAAAGCCCUUUUGUUGGGAAAGAAAAGCAGCAGGUUAAUACCCCGCUGUUCUGACGGUACCCAAAGAAUAAGCACCGGCUAACUUCGUG
Molecule: ribosomal RNA, 492 nt
Filed under: uncultured bacterium
Lineage: Bacteria
Description: partial 16S ribosomal RNA
Rfam family: Bacterial small subunit ribosomal RNA
Source: RNAcentral